UGAGCAAUCUGCCCUUCUCUUCGGAAUAAGCGUGGGAAACCGCGUCUAAUGCCGAAUACGACCUCCUUUCGCAUGAUCGGAGGUGGAAAGCUCCGGCGGAGAAGGAUGAGCUCGCGGCCUAUCAGCUAGUUGGUGUGGGUAAUGGCUCAUCAAGGCGACGACGGGUAGCCGGCCUGAGAGGGUGACCGGCCACACUGGGACUGAGACACGGCCCAGACUCCUAGGGAGG
Molecule: ribosomal RNA, 229 nt
Filed under: uncultured bacterium
Lineage: Bacteria
Description: partial 16S ribosomal RNA
Rfam family: Bacterial small subunit ribosomal RNA
Source: RNAcentral